GUCUACGGCCAUGCUACCCCGAACAAACCUGAUCCCAUCUGAUCUCGGAAGCUAAGCAGGGUCGGGCCUGGUUAGUACUUGGAUGGGAGACCACCUAGAAAGACCAGGUGCUGUAGGCA
This 119-nucleotide ribosomal RNA is filed under the name Pteropus alecto (black flying fox). Lineage: Eukaryota; Metazoa; Chordata; Mammalia; Chiroptera; Pteropodidae. The record is from RNAcentral.